GAUGAACGCUGGCGGCGUGCCUAACACAUGCAAGUCGAACGAAGCACCUUACCUGAUUCUUCGGAUGAAAGUUUGGUGACUGAGUGGCGGACGGGUGAGUAACGCGUGGGUAACCUGCCCUGUACAGGGGGAUAACAGCUGGAAACGGCUGCUAAUACCGCAUAAGCGCACGAGGAGACAUCUCCUUGUGUGAAAAACUCCGGUGGUACAGGAUGGGCCCGCGUCUGAUUAGCUGGUUGGCAGGGUAACGGCCUACCAAGGCAACGAUCAGUAGCCGGUCUGAGAGGAUGAACGGCCACAUUGGAACUGAGACACGGUCCAAACUCCUACGGGAGGCAGCAGUGGGGAAUAUUGCACAAUGGGGGAAACCCUGAUGCAGCAACGCCGCGUGAGUGAGGAAGUAUUUCGGUAUGUAAAGCUCUAUCAGCAGGGAAGAUAAUGACGGUACCUGACUAAGAAGCUCCGGCUAAAUACGUG
RNAcentral lists this ribosomal RNA (477 nucleotides) under uncultured bacterium. RNAcentral's name for it is "partial 16S ribosomal RNA". It matches the Rfam family "Bacterial small subunit ribosomal RNA", at positions 28 to 507 of the family's 1533-position model. The record is from RNAcentral.